RNAcentral lists this long non-coding RNA (2701 nucleotides) under Equus caballus (horse). RNAcentral's name for it is "lncRNA (ENSECAG00000050915.1)". Lineage: Eukaryota; Metazoa; Chordata; Mammalia; Perissodactyla; Equidae. The record is from RNAcentral.
CUCGUGGCCGCGCUCCGACGGUGUCUCGCCUGCGCUUGGGGCUCAGGUGUCUGUGCUGCCGCGUCGGUCCCUUGGGACCAGCCGUGGCCGCCGGAGGAGUGGGGGCGACGCUGGCGGACCCAGAACCCGGGAAACGCCGGAUUUGGCCUGUUCAUAAAUCUGGAAGGAAUGAACGGCACCUCACAGUGGAUCACUGCAACCUGGAGGCUGCGGUCGCGCCAAACACAGCCCUAGACCCAGUCCCCAACAGUAUGGAAAGCACUGACUCCGUCCAGUCAGCAGCUGGUAAACAUUCUGCUCGCACAGACUCAGCUGAGUCUGUUCUGUUCAGAGCCUGUGUCCACAGCCUCUUAGCUGCACUGGGCCUUCCCCUUUGAGGGGACAUGAUGCCCCUUUACUGGGUUGUCCUCAUGGAUCUUCCACAGCUGUGCCCUCUCACAGCCACUGCAGGCGGGGUCUGAACUGCACCCACCUUGCCCCAGGAGCACAGUGUAACAUGACCCUAACGACAUCCUCCUCCAAGGACGUUCGGUUGACCUUCAUUCAGGACAAACAAAUAUUGAAGAGAGGAGCUCACGAAAAGCAGAUGGGCCAUUCCCCACACAUAAUGUGAGGCCUUGACACCUUGGUUGAAUUCCUAAAAACUAUUUGGUUUUCCUUGAGCCCGUUUAUGCUGUUAUGUGCAAAUUUGCCACCCUGAGUGGGCACCCCUACCACAGAAGGCUGGAGACUCUCUUCAAAUUGUCCUACAGCCAACACUCCUGUUAGUGUCCUUGGAGAUUCCUUCCCUACGGAGGCCUCAGUGACCUUCUGUCAUGUCUUCUGGGGUACCCUUGAUGGCCUUAAGUUGCCUGUAGGCUUCUGAUGCAAGAACCUGCCCCAGCCCCCCACUGUGUGCCAUUGGAGCUGCAGUCACCACCACAUACUGGUCUCUCCUGAUGAUAGAGGCUCUCCGAGGCCCUGAGCAUGGGACCCAUGGGACCCUCCACUCAGCUGCCCGUUAUGCUUUGGGCUCUGGAAACAGCACCCCAUGAGCUCAGCACGGCUCCUAAGACCUCCUUGAGACACGAUGGAGCCAAACCUGGGCUCUCUGGGAUAUCCUACCUGCAGGAGCGGGUGCCCUUCCAUCCUGUCAGUUCCUUGCCACGUGCCAUUGUUCUGGAAGAGGUCACCCCUCUCCCAGACCCCUUGGCUCCCAGGGAAGUGUCUUGGUUUAACGCAGUGAACUGCAACAUGAGUUUGCAACAUUUGUACAAGAUGGAGCCCAGUGGAGAGUUACUGCUUUUCAUCUCUUAAUUGAGACAACCUUCAUAAAGAAGGGGACCCCAACAUAACUGAAACAUCCCAAACUAACCACACAUCAGGCGGUUAUAUUAUUUUAAAAGUUCUUUAAGAAGUUUAUCCCCUCCUCACCAGCAGAUUGGCUCACCCACAUCCAGGGAGAGAAAGGCGUGCGGGUCCCGUGAUGUUGAGGGUAGGGUCCGUCGGAAGCGGGUGGAGCCUAGCUCAGAUACCCAUCUGACAAGAUCAGAGCAGCAGGAGAAUGGACACUGCAGUACAGAGAGAUGGAAGGACCUCAAAUUUGAUUGACGAUGCUUGGCAAGAAGACAAGCUGCCAUCUCGAGGGUGUUGCAAUACCACUGAGCAGGACAAGAGGUGGCACCACAGAAUCUGUUAGAGAAUGAGAAAUGAAGUGGACAGGUAGCCUUAUGGUACCUCCGUGGGAACAUUUCCCCCAUGGGUAACUGAUGUCUGGCUCCUCUCCCCUGGACGGUUUCAGAAAACACAUAGAUACAAAAUGCUUUCUUUCAGCCUCCUAAUUCAGAUCUUUUAGUAAUAGACCAGCACUCCGAAUGCACACCCGCUUAGUUUGCGGAAGCAAAGCGCAAUGUGGAAAUACCAGAAUGAGAAACUGGUUGAGAUUUCUCGGGAAUGCAGACUGUUUGACUCUCUGAACCUCUGGUUCUUCAUUCACUAGGUCGUGUUUGAACAUGAUUGGUUAAACAUUUGCCUUUCACUCUGAUUUUGCUUUGCUGUCACUGUUUAACACAUUCCAGCUGGUUAUCUGUGUCCUGGGACACGGGCGACUGAAGUUAUGUGAGGAAAGGGCAAAGGAGACGAAGCAAGACAUAAGGAGAAUUAUUAACUUCUCAUGCACGCCUGCUCUGAGCAGCAUCCUGAGCGGAUGUGUGUCAAGCCUGUGGGCGUGAUGGAUAGAGAGAGAGCCUUCACUGAUCACUGAGAUUCAAGAUCCCCCAUGGCGUUCUCAGACUUUGGUCACAUUUCGAUUUAAAAGGUUACGUGACAGUUACCUCUGCUCUCCCUACAGCUUCUUUUGAUGCCCCUGGAAAGGAUCUUUGGCUAGAGGGACUGCUAGUUUUAUCCGGUAAUGGAAUUGCUUAAUUGCUCAGAGCCCUUCCAGAUGUCACUGGGACACCGUGAAGUCAGCAUUUAGUUACACAUUUGUAUAAGAACUUGAUUUUGCAGAACCCGUUUGUGGACAUUUAUCUCCUGGAAGUAUUUGCCUCUCUAAGUGGUGUCUGUCUGCUUCUCUACCCGAAUUGUGAACUCUGUGCGAAGAGGCCCUGGCUUAUACUUCUGUUUCCCUCCUGAAAAACAGAAAACACUAGAUGAUUGAAAAAUAAAAAGAAAUUUUAAAAAACAGUAGGAAAAAUGAUGAAUUAAUUAAACUACAAGUUCC